Molecule: ribosomal RNA, 2163 nt
Filed under: Triticum aestivum (bread wheat)
Lineage: Eukaryota; Viridiplantae; Streptophyta; Magnoliopsida; Poales; Poaceae
Description: partial small subunit ribosomal RNA
Source: RNAcentral
AUGGUUAGGAGUGUACCGAUUGGUGAGAAGCUCUUCAUAGGAGGAGACCUCAAUGGCCACGUGGGUACAUCUAACACAGGUUUUGAAGGGGCGCAUGGGGGCUUUGGCUAUGGCAUCAGGAAUCAAGAAGGAGAAGAUGUCUUAAGCUUUGCUCUAGCCUACAACAUGAUUGUAGCUAACACCCUCUUUAGAAAGAGAGAAUCACAUCUGGUGACUUUUAGUAGUGGCCAACACUCUAGCCAGGGUGACUAUAAGGUGAUACCUGGGGAGAGUGUUGUACCCCAGCAUAAGCUGGUGGUUGCUGACUUCCGCUUUCGGAUUCGUGUCCAGCAGGAUAAGCGUGCCAAGGUCGCUAGAACGAAGUGGUGGCAGCUCAAAGGGGAGGUAGCUCAGGUGUUCAAGGAGAGGGUAUUUAAGAAGGGCCCUUGGGAGGAAGGAGGGGAUGCGGACAAUGUGUGGAUGAAGAUGGCGACUUGCAUUCGUAAGGUGGCCUCGGAGGAGUUUGGAGUGUCCAGGGGAAGGAGAAGCAAAGAUAAGGAUACCUGGUGGUGGAAUGAUGAUGUCCAGAAGGCCCUUAAAGAGAAGAAAGAUUGCUUCAGACGCCUAUACCUGGAUAGGAGUGCAGACAACAUAGAGAAGUACAAGAUGGCGAAGAAGGCCGCAAAGCGAGCUGUUGGUGAAGCAAGGGGUCGGGCAUAUGAGGACCUCUACCAACGGUUAGGCACGAAGGAAGGUGAAAGGGACAUCUAUAAGAUGGCUAAGAUCCGGGAGAGGAAGACGAGGGAUAUUGGCCAAGUCAAAUGCAUCAAGGACGGAGCAGGCCAACUCUUGGUGAAGGACGAAGAGAUUAAGCAUAGAUGGUGGGAGUACUUCGACAAGCUGUUCAAUGGGGAGAAUGAGAGUUCUACCAUUGAACUGAAUGACUCCUUUGAUGAGACCAGCAUGCGUUUUGUGCGGCGCAUCCAGGAGUCUGAGGUGAAGGAGGCUUUAAAAAGGAUGAAAGGAGGCAAGGCGAUGGGUCCUGAUUGUAUCCCCAUUGAGGUGUGGAAAGGUCUCGGGGACAUAGCGAUAGUAUGGCUAACCAAGCUUUUCAACCUCAUUUUUCGGGCAAACAAGAUGCCAGAAGAAUGGAGACGGAGUAUAUUAGUACCAAUCUUCAAGAACAAGGGGGAUGUUCAGAGUUGUACUAAUUACCGUGGAAUUAAGCUGAUGAGCCAUACAAUGAAGCUAUGGGAGAGAGUCAUUGAGCACCGCUUAAGAAGAAUGACAAGCGUGACCAAAAAUCAGUUUGGUUUCAUGCCUGGGAGGUCGACCAGGGAAGCCAUUUUCUUGGUACGACAACUUAUGGAGAGAUAUAGGGAGCAUAAGAAGGACUUGCAUAUGGUGUUCAUUGACUUGGAGAAGGCCUAUGAUAAGAUACCGCGGAAUGUCAUGUGGUGGGCCUUGGAGAAACACAAAGUCCCAGCAAAGUACAUUACCCUCAUCAAGGACAUGUACAAUAAUGUUGUGACAAGUGUUCGAACAAGUGAUGUCGACACCGAUGACUUCCCGAUUAAGAUAGGACUGCAUCAGGGGUCAGCUUUGAGCCCUUAUCUUUUUGCAUUGGUGAUGGAUGAGGUCACAAGGGGUAUACAAGGAGAUAUCCCAUGGUGUAUGCUCUUUGCGGAUGACGUGGUGCUAGUUGACGAUAGUCGGACGGGGGUAAAUAGGAAGUUAGAGUUAUGGAGACAAACCUUGGAAUUGAAAGGGUUUAGGCUUAGUAGAACUAAAACCGAGUACAUGAUGUGCGGUUUCAGUACUACUAGCUGUGAGGAGGAGGAGGUUAGCCUUGAUGGCCAGGUGGUACCUCGGAAGGACACCUUUCGGUAUUUGGGGUCAAUGUUGCAGGAGGAUGGGGGUAUUGAUGAAGAUGUGAACCAUCGAAUUAAAGCCGGAUGGAUGAAGUGGCGCCAAGCUUCUGGCAUUCUCUGUGACAAGAGAGUGCCACAAAAGCUAAAAGGCAAGUUCUACAGGAUGGCAGUUCGACCCGCAAUGUUGUAUGGCGCGGAGUGUUGGCCGACUAAAAGGCGACAUGUUCAACAGUUAGGUGUGGCGGAGAUGCGUAUGUUGAGAUGGAUGUGUGGCCACACGAGGAAGGAUCGAGUCCGGAAUGAUGAUAUAUGA